UGAGGAACAUGACUUUCGGCGGGGGGAUAGCCGCCCAACGGCCGGGUAAUACCGCGUACGACCACAUGGGGACAUCCCUGAGUGGUGAAAGCAGCAAUGCGCCGAUGGAGUGCCUCGCGGCCUAUCAGCUAGUUGAUGAGGUAACGGCUCACCAAGGCGACGACGGGUAGCUGGUCUGAGAGGAUGGCCAGCCACAGUUGGGACUGAGACACGGCCCAGAUCCCGUACGGGG
RNAcentral lists this ribosomal RNA (232 nucleotides) under uncultured bacterium. Its description in RNAcentral is "partial 16S ribosomal RNA". It matches the Rfam family "Bacterial small subunit ribosomal RNA", at positions 118 to 346 of the family's 1533-position model. The record is from RNAcentral.